This 278-nucleotide ribosomal RNA is filed under the name uncultured bacterium. Its description in RNAcentral is "partial 16S ribosomal RNA". It matches the Rfam family "Bacterial small subunit ribosomal RNA", at positions 511 to 788 of the family's 1533-position model. The record is from RNAcentral.
GCAGCCGCGGUAAAACGUAGGAGACGAGCGUUAUCCGGAUUUACUGGGCGUAAAGAGCGUGUAGGAGGCAUAUCAAGUUGGAUGUAAAAUCUCCCGGCUUAACUGGGAGGCGUCGUUCAAAACUGAUGAGCUAGAGUACUGUAGAGGUAAUCGGAACUCCGGGAGUAGCGGUGAAAUGCGUAGAUAUCCGGAAGAACACCAGAGGCGAAAGCGGAUUACUGGACAGAAACUGACACUGAGACGCGAAAGCCAGGGUAGCAAACGGGAUUAGAUACCCC